GUCAUCCUACGGGGCGCAGCAGUGGGGAAUAUUGCACAAUGGGGGAAACCCUGAUGCAGCAACGCCGCGUGAGUGAUGACGGCCUUCGGGUUGUAAAGCUCUGUCCUCAGGGACGAUAAUGACGGUACCUGAGGAGGAAGCCACGGCUAACUACGUGCCAGCAGCCGCGGUAAUACGUAGGUGGCGAGCGUUGUCCGGAUUUACUGGGCGUAAAGGGAGCGUAGGCGGACUUUUAAGUGAGAUGUGAAAUACUCGGGCUCAACUUGAGUGCUGCAUUUCAAACUGGAAGUCUAGAGUGCUGGAGG
RNAcentral lists this ribosomal RNA (305 nucleotides) under uncultured bacterium. Its description in RNAcentral is "bacterial SSU rRNA". It matches the Rfam family "Bacterial small subunit ribosomal RNA", at positions 333 to 655 of the family's 1533-position model. The record is from RNAcentral.